Molecule: small nuclear RNA, 116 nt
Gene: U2
Rfam family: U2 spliceosomal RNA
About the family: U2 is a small nuclear RNA (snRNA) component of the spliceosome (involved in pre-mRNA splicing).
Source: Ensembl
AUUGCUUCUCGGCCUUUUGGCUAAGAUCAAGUGUAGUAUCAGUUCUUAUCAGUUUAAUAUCUGAUACGUCCCCCAGCGGGGGACUACAUGUUAGAUUUUUAGAACAGGGAGUUUGG